UACAGAGGUCUCAAGCGUUGUUCGGAAUCACUGGGCGUAAAGGGUGCGUAGGCGGCGGAGUAAGUCGGGUGUGAAAUUUGAAGGCUCAACCUUCAACUAGCACCUGAUACUGCUUUGCUUGAGGUCUGAAGAGGAGCUUGGAAUUCUCGGUGUAGCAGUGAAAUGCGUAGAUUUCGAGAAGAACGCUCGCAGCGAAAGCGAAGCUCUGGUCAGAUUCUGACGCUGAGGCACGAAGGCUAGGGGAGCAAACAGG
Molecule: ribosomal RNA, 253 nt
Filed under: uncultured bacterium
Lineage: Bacteria
Description: partial 16S ribosomal RNA
Rfam family: Bacterial small subunit ribosomal RNA
Source: RNAcentral